UUGACGGGACCGCACAAGCGGUGGAUGAUGUGGUUAAUUCGAUGCAACGCGAAAACCUUACCACCUUUGACAUGUACGGAAUCCUUUAGAGAUAGAGGAGUGCUCGAAAGAGAGCCGUAACACAGGUGCUGCAUGGCUGUCGUCAGCUCGUGUCGUGAGAUGUUGGGUUAAGUCCCGCAACGAGCGCAACCCUCGCUGUUAGUUACAAGUGUCUAACAGGACUGCCGGUAUCAAACCGGAGGAAGGUGGGGAUGACGUCAAGUCAGCAUGGCCUUUAUAUCCAGGGCUACACACACGCUACAAUGGUCGGUACAGAGGGUUGCCAAGCCGCGAGGCGGAGCUAAUCUCACAAAGCCGGCCUCAGUUCGGAUUGCAGGCUGCGACUCGCCUGCAUGAAGCUGGAGUUGCUAGUAAACGCCGGUCAGCUAUACGGCGUUGAAUAUGUUCCCGGGCCUU
RNAcentral lists this ribosomal RNA (456 nucleotides) under uncultured Caldilineaceae bacterium. RNAcentral's name for it is "bacterial SSU rRNA". It matches the Rfam family "Bacterial small subunit ribosomal RNA", at positions 917 to 1381 of the family's 1533-position model. Lineage: Bacteria; Bacillati; Chloroflexota; Caldilineae; Caldilineales; Caldilineaceae. The record is from RNAcentral.